RNAcentral lists this transfer RNA (82 nucleotides) under Stachybotrys chartarum IBT 7711. RNAcentral describes it as "tRNA-Leu (TAA) (tRNA-Leu-TAA-1-1)". It matches the Rfam family "tRNA". Rfam says of the family: Transfer RNA (tRNA) molecules are approximately 80 nucleotides in length. Their secondary structure includes four short double-helical elements and three loops (D, anti-codon, and T loops). Lineage: Eukaryota; Fungi; Ascomycota; Sordariomycetes; Hypocreales; Stachybotryaceae. RNAcentral also lists the same sequence under 3 other names. The record is from RNAcentral.
AGCGGGUUGGUGGAGUGGUCUAUCACGUGUGACUUAAGUUCACAUCUCGCAAGAGGCGCGGGUUCGAACCCCGCACCCGCUA